RNAcentral lists this ribosomal RNA (550 nucleotides) under uncultured prokaryote. RNAcentral's name for it is "bacterial SSU rRNA". It matches the Rfam family "Bacterial small subunit ribosomal RNA", at positions 355 to 896 of the family's 1533-position model. The record is from RNAcentral.
UGGGGAAUAUUGGACAAUGGGGGCAACCCUGAUCCAGCAAUGCCGCGUGUGUGAAGAAGGCCUGCGGGUUGUAAAGCACUUUCAGUGGGGACGAAAACUUGUGGGCUAAUAUCCUACGAGCUUGACUUAACCUACAGAAGAAGCACCGGCUAACUCUGUGCCAGCAGCCGCGGUAAUACAGAGGGUGCGAGCGUUUAUCGGAAUUACUGGGCGUAAAGGGCGCGUAGGUGGUUUGAUAAGUCAGAUGUGAAAUCCCUGGGCUUAACCUGGGAAUUGCAUUUGAUACUGCCAAACUAGAGUGUGAUAGAGGUAAGCGGAAUUCCCGGUGUAGCGGUGAAAUGCGUAGAUAUCGGGAGGAACAUCAGUGGCGAAGGCGGCUUACUGGAUCAACACUGACACUGAGGCGCGAAAGCGUGGGUAGCAAACAGGAUUAGAUACCCUGGUAGUCCACGCCCUAAACGAUGUCGACUAGCCGUUGGGUUCAUAAAAGAACUUAGUGGCGCAGCUAACGCGAUAAGUCGACCGCCUGGGGAGUACGGCCGCAAGGCUA